CCUACGGGUGGCUGCAGUGGGGCAUAUUGCACAAUGGGGGAAACCCUGAUGCAGCGACGCCGCGUGAGUGAAGAAGGUUUUCGGUUUGUAAAGCUCUAUCAGCAGGGAAGAAAAUGACGGUACCUGAUUAAGAAGCCACGGCUAACUCCGUGCCAGUAGACGCGGUAAUACGGAGGGGGAAAGCGUUAUCCGGAUUUACGGGGAGUAAAGGGAGCGUAGACGGCAGCACAAGUCUGGAGUGAAAUGCCGGUGAUUAACCCCGGAACUGCCUUUGAACCUGUGCAGCCAGAGUGCAGGAGAGGUUAGUGGAAUUCCAAGUGUAGCAGUGAAAUGCGUAGAUAGUAGGAGGAACACCAGUGGUGAAGGCGACUUACUGGACGGUAACUGACGUUGAGGCGCGAAAGCGUGGGGAGCAAACAGGAUUAGAUACCCUUGUAGUC
RNAcentral lists this ribosomal RNA (440 nucleotides) under uncultured bacterium. RNAcentral describes it as "partial 16S ribosomal RNA". It matches the Rfam family "Bacterial small subunit ribosomal RNA", at positions 338 to 795 of the family's 1533-position model. The record is from RNAcentral.